AGUCUUUAUUUCAUUACUAAUAGACAGCUCGCUAAGUUCUAAAUAACUGUAAGUGCAUCCUGAAUCGCAUACUAAUGCACUAUUUUAUGCCUAUUUGUAGUGCAUUCAUACUUUUAUUCUAAAAAGAGUGCACUUUAUAAACCCAGAUGGUGCACUUAUUCAACUGUGAACAUGAACUCUUUUCACAUUUCCGGGUUUCUCGGUAGUGGAAGUUGUCAUAGUUGGGUAAACUUAGUGUGCAGUGAAUGGGAGAGUACAACAAAUAAUUUUUUACAAUCCUAUUUGCUGAAAUAAUAAAAGAAAAACUCCAUGAUGUUGUUAUUAAGAUAUUCAGAAAAAGGUAAACAAAAAUAAAUAGUGUGAGACUGAUAACGGCAGCCAGAAGGGUUGGGUUGAUAGACAAUGCCAACGUCCAUUGGCAAUGGCCGAUAGACAUCACAAUGGUGAGCCAGCAUCGUGAUCCUCCACCCUGUCGCAGCAGCAACCCGCUCAAAAAAAAAAAACAAUUAAAAAAAAAAAAAAAAAAAAAAAA
Danio rerio (zebrafish) is the source of this 532-nucleotide non-coding RNA. The record is from Ensembl. Lineage: Eukaryota; Metazoa; Chordata; Actinopteri; Cypriniformes; Danionidae.